This 1286-nucleotide ribosomal RNA is filed under the name metagenome. Its description in RNAcentral is "bacterial SSU rRNA". It matches the Rfam family "Bacterial small subunit ribosomal RNA", at positions 243 to 1520 of the family's 1533-position model. The record is from RNAcentral.
AGCUAGUUGGUGGGGUAAAAGCUCACCAAGGCGACGAUCUGUAGCGGGUCUGAGAGGAUGAUCCGCCACACUGGAACUGAGACACGGUCCAGACUCCUACGGGAGGCAGCAGUGGGGAAUUUUGGACAAUGGGGGCAACCCUGAUCCAGCCAUGCCGCGUGAGUGAAGAAGGCCUUCGGGUUGUAAAGCUCUUUCAGCCGGGAAGAAAACGCAUCGGCUAAUACCUGGUGUGAAUGACGGUACCGGAAUAAGAAGCACCGGCUAACUACGUGCCAGCAGCCGCGGUAAUACGUAGGGUGCGAGCGUUAAUCGGAAUUACUGGGCGUAAAGCGUGCGCAGGCGGUUUUGUAAGACAGGCGUGAAAUCCCCGGGCUUAACCUGGGAACUGCGUUUGUGACUGCAAGGCUAGAGUACGGCAGAGGGGGGUGGAAUUCCACGUGUAGCAGUGAAAUGCGUAGAGAUGUGGAGGAACACCAAUGGCGAAGGCAGCCCCCUGGGUCGAUACUGACGCUCAUGCACGAAAGCGUGGGUAGCAAACAGGAUUAGAUACCCUGGUAGUCCACGCCCUAAACGAUGUCAACUAGGUGUUGGGAGGGUAAAACCUUUUAGUACCGGAGCUAACGCGUGAAGUUGACCGCCUGGGGAGUACGGCCGCAAGGUUAAAACUCAAAGGAAUUGACGGGGACCCGCACAAGCGGUGGAUGAUGUGGAUUAAUUCGAUGCAACGCGAAAAACCUUACCUACCCUUGACAUGUCAGGAACUUUCCAGAGAUGGAUUGGUGCUCGAAAGAGAACCUGAACACAGGUGCUGCAUGGCUGUCGUCAGCUCGUGUCGUGAGAUGUUGGGUUAAGUCCCGCAACGAGCGCAACCCUUGUCGUUAAUUGCCAUCAUUAAGUUGGGCACUUUAGCGAGACUGCCGGUGACAAACCGGAGGAAGGUGGGGAUGACGUCAAGUCCUCAUGGCCCUUAUGGGUAGGGCUUCACACGUCAUACAAUGGUCGGUACAAAGGGUUGCCAACCCGCGAGGGGGAGCUAAUCCCAUAAAGCCGAUCGUAGUCCGGAUUGCAGGCUGCAACUCGCCUGCAUGAAGUCGGAAUCGCUAGUAAUCGUGGAUCAGCAUGUCACGGUGAAUACGUUCCCGGGUCUUGUACACACCGCCCGUCACACCAUGGGAGCGGGUUCCGCCAGAAGUAGGUAGCCUAACCGCAAGGGGGGCGCUUACCACGGCGGGGUUCGUGACUGGGGUGAAGUCGCAACAAGGUAGCCGUAGGAGAACCUGCGGCUG